AUGACUAAAGACACUUGCUUAAAAGGGGGAUUGACAAAACUUCGGGAUGCCUAUUCUGACCAGGAAACAGUAGACCACUUGUUUUUUGGUUGUGUAGUAGCAAAAAACAUCUGGACUGAGGUCUCCUCCUUUCUUUCUGUUGAUUUAGGGUCUAGCUAUCUCUCUAUUGCCAAAUUUUGGCCUGCUAAUAAAAAACAUGAAGUACUAAAUGCCUUUUGCGCCUGUCUACUGUGGUGCCUUUGGAAAGUUAGGAAUAAUCAUGUUUUUGAUAAUGCUAUUUGGUCUGAUAUUAAACAGAUCUGGUGGCUGGUCUGGAGGACACUCAAGAGGUGGAUGGUUCUAUACUCAAAGGAUUCGCAGGAGAAAAUGCAGAGAAUACUGCACUGGAUAUCCUGCAUCCUCAAAGCCCCUUUGUAG
Molecule: ribosomal RNA, 417 nt
Filed under: Triticum aestivum (bread wheat)
Lineage: Eukaryota; Viridiplantae; Streptophyta; Magnoliopsida; Poales; Poaceae
Description: partial small subunit ribosomal RNA
Source: RNAcentral